GGGGGCGUUGGCUCAGUGGUAGAGCAUCUGCCUUGAAUUCUUAAGGUCCCAGGUUCAAUCCCUGGCAUCUCCA
Non-coding RNA from Euleptes europaea (tarantolino), 73 nucleotides. NCBI's taxonomy places the organism in Eukaryota, Metazoa, Chordata, Lepidosauria, Squamata, Sphaerodactylidae. The record is from the annotation of a RefSeq genome assembly.